UUGGAGGGCAAGUCUGGUGCCAGCAGCCGCGGUAAUUCCAGCUCCAAUAGCGUAUAUUAAAGUUGUUGCAGUUAAAAAGCUCGUAGUUGAAUUUCGGGAUCAAUUUAUCGGUCGUGCCUACGGUAUGAACUGGUACAAUUGGUUUCUCCCUUCUGACGAAGCAUGAUGUCAUUAAUUUGGUGUCGUGGGGAAUCAGGACUGUUACUUUGAAAAAAUUAGAGUGUUUAAAGCAAGCAUUAGCUUGAAUACAUUAGCAUGGAAUAAUGAAAUAGGACGUUUGAUCCUAUUUCGUUGGUUUCUAGGAUCGACGUAAUGAUUAAUAGGGAUAGUUGGGGGCAUUAGUAUUCAAUUGUCAGAGGUGAAAUUCUUGGAUUUAUUGAAGACUAACUACUGCGAAAGCAUUUGCCAAGGAUGUUUUCAUUAAUCAAGAACGAAAGUUAGGGGAUCGAAGACGAUCAGAUACCGUCGUAGUCUUAACCAUAAACUAUGCCGACUAGGGAUCGGAUGAUGUUAAUUUUUUAAUGACUCAUUCGGCGCCUUACGGGAAAC
Molecule: ribosomal RNA, 549 nt
Filed under: Glomeromycota sp.
Lineage: Eukaryota; Fungi; Glomeromycota
Also listed under: 1 other name
Description: SSU rRNA
Rfam family: Eukaryotic small subunit ribosomal RNA
Source: RNAcentral